RNAcentral lists this ribosomal RNA (425 nucleotides) under uncultured Laceyella sp. RNAcentral describes it as "bacterial SSU rRNA". It matches the Rfam family "Bacterial small subunit ribosomal RNA", at positions 355 to 795 of the family's 1533-position model. Lineage: Bacteria; Bacillati; Bacillota; Bacilli; Caryophanales; Thermoactinomycetaceae. The record is from RNAcentral.
UGGGGAUUUUUCCGCAAUGGGCGAAAGCCUGACGGAGCAACGCCGCGUGUGGGAUGACGCUUUUCGGAGUGUAAACCACUGUUCAUGGGGACGAAGCACUGACGGUACCCAUGGAGGAAGGCCCGGCUAACUACGUGCCAGCAGCCGCGGUAAUACGUAGGGGUCGAGCGUUGUCCGGAGUUACUGGGCGUAAAGCGCAUGCAGGCGGCUCAUUACGCAUGGCGUGAAAGCCCCCGGCUUAACCGGGGAGGGUCGUCGUGAACGGGUGAGCUUGAGGGUAUCAGGGGCUGGUGGAAUUCCCGGUGUAGUGGUGAAAUGCGUAGAGAUCGGGAGGAACACCUGUGGCGAAGGCGGCCAGCUGGGAUACACCUGACGCUGAGAUGCGAAGGCAUGGGGAGCGAAAGGGAUUAGAUACCCCUGUAGUC